GUGUAUCACACUAUGUACCAAGACCUCACCACACUAGUGUGCUAUUUCCUACUGCUACCAGAACAUAUAACUGCAAACUUAGGGCCUUAAGACAGCACCCAUUUAUUAUCUCACAGUUUUGCAGGUCAGAAGUCCAGUAGGCUCGGCUGGUUUCUUUCCUUCUGGUAUCACAAGGCCAAAAUCGAGGUGUCGACUGGGCUCCUUUGCCUUCUGGAGGCUGGAGGGGAGAAGCCAUUUCCAGAAUCUUUCAGGUGGUUGGCAGAAUUCAGUAUCUAUAGGACAGAAAUACACAUUUCCUUGCUGGCUGACACAUAAGGGGUCUCCUUAGCAUCUAGAGGCUCUUUUGGGUCACUGUGCACAGUUGCAUGUAGUCUCAAAACAUGUCAGUACUAGCAAGAGUACACAAAAUCCUUUUGUUGUAUUCCAUCUGCCUCUCCUUCUUCUGCCACUUUUCUAUGACUGACUCUUCUGCCUUCCUCGUCUACUUUUAAGUGCUCAAGUGAUUAGACUGGGCCCCUCAGUAAUCCAGGAUAAUCUCCCUAUUUUAAGAUCUGUAACCUUAAUCACACCCGAAAAGUCUCUUUUGCUAUGUCAAGUAACAUAUUCGCAUAUUCCCAGGGACUAGGGCUUGAAAACCUUUGGGAGGCAUUAUUCCUUUCAUAUUUAUGUCCCUCAAUCCUCAUAACAGCCCAGUAAGGGAAGUGUUAUGCAUGUGAAGAAAGUGAAGUUCAGAGAGGUUUAUAUCACAAGUAAUAGAUGGUAGAGCUGGAGUUUGAACCUUGCUUCAGAGCUCACACCCCUUCCUCUGCUAGAGAGAAGGACUAGUGGGAGCAAAGCAAUUGUAUCACCUGUCACUCACCGCAGUUCCCACUAUUGUUUCCCUAGUGCUGCUUCUCAACUUAUUGAGGUCAUCACCACUGUGUCCACCCAAUUUCCGAUUCUCCUCCUACCUCCCCACUAUGGGUUCCACUGGACAUCAGGAAAAAGCAGAGGGACAAGUUUUCCAGAAGAAAAAGAAUGAAUGCUAGAGCACAUGGGUAUCCUUUGAAAUGAGCUGCAGAGGAGCUGUGUUCAUUUCAGGCUCACAGUCUUGUCACCAGUUUCAGAAGAAUUCUGCACCUGCAGCAGCCAGGAAUAUCUGCUGAGGAACCUUUGUCCUCUACCUAAACCAGGAC
Molecule: long non-coding RNA, 1175 nt
Filed under: Sus scrofa (pig)
Lineage: Eukaryota; Metazoa; Chordata; Mammalia; Artiodactyla; Suidae
Description: lncRNA (ENSSSCG00065044117.1)
Source: RNAcentral